GUUUUCCUUUGGAUGUAGAAAUCAGCACCUCAGUGAAUUGUGGACAUUAAAAGAAUUCAAAGGGAGAGGUGGUUACAGUAACUGCAUGAUUUAGAGAUAGAAGUUAAUCUUCAAACUAUCACAAUUAGAUCGAAAAUUAGAUAAUAAUUACGAGAUAACAAUAAAAAAUGAAUACAAUGGGCACGUUCAGCCGAAUUCAGCCCUUACACUGUGUCCAGCGCCCAAUUUCAGGAGAUUAAAUUGGCUGAAUGCAUUGUUAGUAAUACCGUUCCGGAAGGACUGCCAGACGAUUGGAACUUUUAACGCCCGCUAAUCAGAUUCUUGCAAGACACCUCUAGCGUAAUAUUUGAAAGCUUUUGCAGGUACAUUGUCACAGGACUUUUCUACACACGCACGUGACCACGAAAUCUGUCAACAGAUAUUGCCGCACCUUAAAAAGGCACUCUCGCAUUUUUUUUUGUAUUCAACCCUUAAGAAAUGUCUACUUUAAGCUUUGAAACAUUGAGGUUAAAAUAAAAAGUAAUAUGUA
Long non-coding RNA from Photinus pyralis (common eastern firefly), 529 nucleotides. RefSeq lists it as uncharacterized. The record is from RefSeq and is a predicted model, not a curated record. The transcript is spliced from 3 exons. Lineage: Eukaryota; Metazoa; Arthropoda; Insecta; Coleoptera; Lampyridae.